GCCAGGCGAGGUGGCUCAUGCCUGUAAUCCCAGCACUUUCGGAGGCCGAGACGGGCAGAUCACGAGGUCAGGAGAUCGAGACCAUCCUGGCUAACACGGUGAAACCCCGUCUCUACUAAACAUACAAAAAACUAGCCGGGCGAAGUGGCGGGUGCCUGUAGUNNNNNNNNNNACUACAGGCACCCGCCACUUCGCCCGGCUAGUUUUUUGUAUGUUUAGUAGAGACGGGGUUUCACCGUGUUAGCCAGGAUGGUCUCGAUCUCCUGACCUCGUGAUCUGCCCGUCUCGG
This is a non-coding RNA of Chlorocebus sabaeus (green monkey), 289 nucleotides long. It matches the Rfam family "Metazoan signal recognition particle RNA". Rfam says of the family: The signal recognition particle (SRP) is a universally conserved ribonucleoprotein. It is involved in the co-translational targeting of proteins to membranes. NCBI's taxonomy places the organism in Eukaryota, Metazoa, Chordata, Mammalia, Primates, Cercopithecidae. The record is from Rfam.